AUUUUGGACAAUGGGGGCAACCCUGAUCCAGCAAUGCCGCGUGAGUGAAGAAGGCCUUCGGGUUGUAAAGCUCUUUUGUCAGGGAAGAAACGGUGGUCUCUAAUAUAGGCUGCUAAUGACGGUACCUGAAGAAUAAGCACCGGCUAACUACGUGCCAGCAGCCGCGGUAAUACGUAGGGUGCAAGCGUUAAUCGGAAUUACUGGGCGUAAAGCGUGCGCAGGCGGUUAUAUAAGUCAGAUGUGAAAUCCCCGGGCUCAACCUGGGAACUGCAUUUGAGACUGUAUGGCUAGAGUGUGUCAGAGGGGGGUAGAAUUCCACGUGUAGCAGUGAAAUGCGUAGAUAUGUGGAGGAAUACCGAUGGCGAAGGCAGCCCCCUGGGAUAACACUGACGCUCAUGCACGAAAGCGUGGGGGAGCAAACA
Molecule: ribosomal RNA, 422 nt
Filed under: uncultured bacterium
Lineage: Bacteria
Description: bacterial SSU rRNA
Rfam family: Bacterial small subunit ribosomal RNA
Source: RNAcentral